RNAcentral lists this ribosomal RNA (486 nucleotides) under uncultured bacterium. RNAcentral describes it as "partial 16S ribosomal RNA". It matches the Rfam family "Bacterial small subunit ribosomal RNA", at positions 30 to 507 of the family's 1533-position model. The record is from RNAcentral.
AUUGAACGCUGGCGGCAUGCCUUACACAUGCAAGUCGAACGGCAGCACGGGUGCUUGCCCCUGGUGGCGAGUGGCGAACGGGUGAGUAAUACAUCGGAACAUGUCCUGUAGUGGGGGAUAGCCCGGCGAAGGCCGGAUUAAUACCGCAUACGAUCUACGGAUGAAAGCGGGGGACCUUCGGGCCUCGCGCUAUAGGGUUGGCCGAUGGCUGAUUAGCUAGUUGGUGGGGUAAAGGCCUACCAAGGCGACGAUCAGUAGCUGGUCUGAGAGGACGACCAGCCACACUGGGACUGAGACACGGCCCAGACUCCUACGGGAGGCAGCAGUGGGGAAUUUUGGACAAUGGGCGAAAGCCUGAUCCAGCAAUGCCGCGUGUGUGAAGAAGGCCUUCGGGUUGUAAAGCACUUUUGUCCGGAAAGAAAUCCUUGGCCCUAAUACGGUCGGGGGAUGACGGUACCGGAAGAAUAAGCACCGGCUAACUACGUG